UACAUGCAAGUCGAGCGAACAGACGAGGAGCUUGCUCCUCUGACGUUAGCGGCGGACGGGUGAGUAACACGUGGAUAACCUACCUAUAAGACUGGGAUAACUUCGGGAAACCGGAGCUAAUACCGGAUAAUAUAUUGAACCGCAUGGUUCAAUAGUGAAAGACGGUUUUGCUGUCACUUAUAGAUGGAUCCGCGCCGCAUUAGCUAGUUGGUAAGGUAACGGCUUACCAAGGCAACGAUGCGUAGCCGACCUGAGAGGGUGAUCGGCCACACUGGAACUGAGACACGGUCCAGACUCCUACGGGAGGCAGCAGUAGGGAAUCUUCCGCAAUGGGCGAAAGCCUGACGGAGCAACGCCGCGUGAGUGAUGAAGGUCUUCGGAUCGUAAAACUCUGUUAUUAGGGAAGAACAAAUGUGUAAGUAACUAUGCACGUCUUGACGGUACCUAAUCAGAAAGCCACGGCUAACUACGUGCCAGCAGCCGCGGUAAUACGUAGGUGGCAAGCGUUAUCCGGAAUUAUUGGGCGUAAAGCGCGCGUAGGCGGUUUUUUAAGUCUGAUGUGAAAGCCCACGGCUCAACCGUGGAGGGUCAUUGGAAACUGGAAAACUUGAGUGCAGAAGAGGAAAGUGGAAUUCCAUGUGUAGCGGUGAAAUGCGCAGAGAUAUGGAGGAACACCAGUGGCGAAGGCGACUUUCUGGUCUGUAACUGACGCUGAUGUGCGAAAGCGUGGGGAUCAAACAGGAUUAGAUACCCUGGUAGUCCACGCCGUAAACGAUGAGUGCUAAGUGUUAGGGGGUUUCCGCCCCUUAGUGCUGCAGCUAACGCAUUAAGCACUCCGCCUGGGGAGUACGACCGCAAGGUUGAAACUCAAAGGAAUUGACGGGGACCCGCACAAGCGGUGGAGCAUGUGGUUUAAUUCGAAGCAACGCGAAGAACCUUACCAAAUCUUGACAUCCUCUGACCCCUCUAGAGAUAGAGUUUUCCCCUUCGGGGGACAGAGUGACAGGUGGUGCAUGGUUGUCGUCAGCUCGUGUCGUGAGAUGUUGGGUUAAGUCCCGCAACGAGCGCAACCCUUAAGCUUAGUUGCCAUCAUUAAGUUGGGCACUCUAAGUUGACUGCCGGUGACAAACCGGAGGAAGGUGGGGAUGACGUCAAAUCAUCAUGCCCCUUAUGAUUUGGGCUACACACGUGCUACAAUGGACAAUACAAAGGG
RNAcentral lists this ribosomal RNA (1213 nucleotides) under Staphylococcus epidermidis. RNAcentral describes it as "bacterial SSU rRNA". It matches the Rfam family "Bacterial small subunit ribosomal RNA", at positions 52 to 1246 of the family's 1533-position model. The record is from RNAcentral. Lineage: Bacteria; Bacillati; Bacillota; Bacilli; Caryophanales; Staphylococcaceae.